RNAcentral lists this long non-coding RNA (1494 nucleotides) under Equus caballus (horse). RNAcentral's name for it is "lncRNA (ENSECAG00000056241.1)". The record is from RNAcentral. Lineage: Eukaryota; Metazoa; Chordata; Mammalia; Perissodactyla; Equidae.
GUUGUAAAGGUGGGGCACUAAUCUGAUAGGGCUGGUGUCCUUACAAGGUCAGGAAGAGAUCUCUCUCUCUCUCUCUCUCUCUCUCUCUGCCAAGUGAGGACACAGGAAGACGUGACCACGCAGGGAGAAGAUCGCCGUCUACAAGCCAGGAAGAGAGCCCUCACCAGCCCCUGACCCUGCUGGCACCCUGAUCGUGGACUUUCAGCCUGCAGAACUGUGAGAAAAUCAAUUUCUGUUGCUUAAGCCACCCAGGUGUUGGUAUUUUGUUAUGGCAGCCUGAGCAGACUGAGACAAGUACCUACUGCUCGAGACGUGGGUCUGAAGGGAGAGAAAUCCCCUCAUCUCUGAUUCUGUGAUUUGGUUUGCGAGCUGCAAGAAUAUGAGUGAAGGGAAGUGUUGAAAGAGGAUAAAAGAAGGAAUAACCCAUUAUCUAAUCACUUUGGAAAAAAUGAGUUACCUGUUUGGCUGGGUGACCUCAGAGCUUUUUCUUCCCCCUUGGCGGCUCCUGCCCAUUUGCCUUCAUGACUCCUGAAAUGUUACGUCGGCACGGAGCUUCAGCCUUGCAGCUGUCUCUGGUGAAGAGAGGGCAACAGUGUGGAGGACCCUGGAGGGAGAGGUUGCUACCAGGGGUUACCUACCUCCAGAAGUUUGAGGUCUACUCUGCUGUUAUAUUCUAAUUGGAAGAGAAAUUUAACUGACAAGACUUAACACAAAAGACAAUAAACAGAAUUUUUUAGGUGGAGAAACAUAACUUGAAGAAAAAGAAGACUCUUGCUCAUCGAUUGUUCACUUUUCGUAAAUUGCAGCUACCUAGAGUUGUACAGUUGACAUGGCUCUUUCACAUGCAUCAUCUGAUUUGAUCCCCAAAACAAGCUCAAUGGGGCAAGAAACAGCUUGAUUAAAUGAUUUACCAAAGGUUACUUGGCUGGUAAAUGGCAGCACAGAAACUGGAAUGAGGAUUUUAGUUCAUCUAGUUUUUAAAAAAUCUAUUGUGUACCUAUUAUGGGUAAGCAUUGUAUUAGAUCUUGGAGACAAAAUGUGGACAGACAAAGAGGGAACAGACAGCAAACAAAAUUUGUUUAUGACAGUUUUGAUAGAUGCAAAUGCAAGAAAAGUGAAGAUUGUGAUGAAAAUUUAUAAGAAGGUCAUACCUUUGCCUGGAGAUGGGGUUUGGGUCAAGAGAGGCUGGCCCAAAGAAGUGACAUUUAUGUUCCCAGACCAGUGUCGUGGCUCCUAGUUUAACUAGAAUUCAAUACCAAUGGGCUCUCCACUCUAGUAAGAUAGCUUACCAUAGCAAAAUAGGGAGAAAUGAGAAAUACAACAGAUGGUAGUAUGUUUUUAUCAAGCUAAAUGUAUUUAAAAUAAAGGUCUGUCUUAUUUCUCAGAUUGUCUUUCCUAUUUAUGGGUUUAAACCACUCUUUCUUUUAUACAGUGAUUGUUACGGUAAAUAAAAUUUUUUUUAGUGAAUUGCUUGGGGCUAUAAAAAAUUUCAAA